Molecule: ribosomal RNA, 477 nt
Filed under: uncultured bacterium
Lineage: Bacteria
Description: partial 16S ribosomal RNA
Rfam family: Bacterial small subunit ribosomal RNA
Source: RNAcentral
GAUGAACGCUGGCGGCGUGCCUAACACAUGCAAGUCGAACGAAGCACCUUACCUGAUUCUUCGGAUGAAAGUUUGGUGACUGAGUGGCGGACGGGUGAGUAACGCGUGGGUAACCUGCCCUGUACAGGGGGAUAACAGCUGGAAACGGCUGCUAAUACCGCAUAAGCGCACGAGGAGACAUCUCCUUGUGUGAAAAACUCCGGUGGUACAGGAUGGGCCCGCGUCUGAUUAGCUGGUUGGCAGGGUAACGGCCUACCAAGGCAACGAUCAGUAGCCGGUCUGAGAGGAUGAACGGCCACAUUGGAACUGAGACACGGUCCAAACUCCUACGGGAGGCAGCAGUGGGGAAUAUUGCACAAUGGGGGAAACCCUGAUGCAGCAACGACGCGUGAGUGAAGAAGUAUUUCGGUAUGUAAAGCUCUAUCAGCAGGGAAGAUAAUGACGGUACCUGACUAAGAAGCUCCGGCUAAAUACGUG